This 497-nucleotide ribosomal RNA is filed under the name uncultured bacterium. Its description in RNAcentral is "partial 16S ribosomal RNA". It matches the Rfam family "Bacterial small subunit ribosomal RNA", at positions 28 to 507 of the family's 1533-position model. The record is from RNAcentral.
GAUGAACGCUGGCGGCGUGCCUAAUACAUGCAAGUCGAGCGAACAGACGAGGAGCUUGCUCCUCUGACGUUAGCGGCGGACGGGUGAGUAACACGUGGAUAACCUACCUAUAAGACUGGGAUAACUUCGGGAAACCGGAGCAAAUCCCGGAUAAUAUAUUGAACCGCAUGGUUCAAUAGUGAAAGACGGUUUUGCUGUCACUUAUAGUUGAUUCCGCGCCGCAUUAGCUAGUUGGUAAGGUAACGGCUUACCAAGGCAACGAUGCGUAGCCGACCUGAGAGGGUGAUCGGCCACACUGGAACUGAGACACGGUCCAGACUCCUACGGGAGGCAGCAGUAGGGAAUCUUCCGCAAUGGGCGAAAGCCUGACGGAGCAACGCCGCGUGAGUGAUGAAGGUCUUCGGAUCGUAAAACUCUGUUAUUAGGGAAGAACAAAUGUGUAAGUAACUAUGCACGUCUUGACGGUACCUAAUCAGAAAGCCACGGCUAACUACGUG